This 495-nucleotide ribosomal RNA is filed under the name uncultured bacterium. Its description in RNAcentral is "partial 16S ribosomal RNA". It matches the Rfam family "Bacterial small subunit ribosomal RNA", at positions 28 to 507 of the family's 1533-position model. The record is from RNAcentral.
GAUGAACGCUGGCGGCGUGCCUAAUACAUGCAAGUAGAACGCUGAAGGAGGAGCUUGCUCUUCUGGAUGAGUUGCGAACGGGUGAGUAACGCGUAGGUAACCUGCCUGGUAGCGGGGGAUAACGAUUGGAAACGAUAGCUAAUACCGCAUGACAACAGUUAUUGCAUGAUAACUGUUUAAAAGGGGCAACUGCUCCACUACCAGAUGGACCUGCGUUGUAUUAGCUAGUGGGUGAGGUAACGGCUCACCAAGGCGACGAUACAUAGCCGACCUGAGAGGGUGGUCGCCCACCCUGGGACUGAGACACGGCCCAGACUACUGCGGGAGGCCGCAGUCGGGUAUCUUCGGCAAUGGACGGAAGUCUGACCGAACAACGCCGCGUGAGUGAAGAAGGUUUUCGGAUCGUAAAGAUCUGUUGUAAGAGAAGAACGAGUGUGAGAGUGGAAAGUUCACACUGUGACGGUAUCUUAACAGAAAGGGACGGCUAACUACGUG